Molecule: ribosomal RNA, 305 nt
Filed under: uncultured bacterium
Lineage: Bacteria
Description: bacterial SSU rRNA
Rfam family: Bacterial small subunit ribosomal RNA
Source: RNAcentral
GUGUUCCUACGGGGGGCAGCAGUGGGGAAUAUUGCACAAUGGGGGAAACCCUGAUGCAGCGACGCCGCGUGAGUGAAGAAGCGUUUCGGCGCGUAAAGCUCUGUCAGCGGGGAAGAAACACGGUUCGCGAGAGCCGCGGACGGUACCCGACCAAGAAGCCCCGGCUAACUACGUGCCAGCAGCCGCGGUAAUACGUAGGGGGCAAGCGUUAUCCGGAUUUACUGGGUGUAAAGGGAGCGUAGACGGCGAUGCAAGUCUGAAGUGAAAGCCCGGGGCUCAACCCCGGGACUGCUUUGGAAACUGUA